This 253-nucleotide ribosomal RNA is filed under the name uncultured bacterium. Its description in RNAcentral is "partial 16S ribosomal RNA". It matches the Rfam family "Bacterial small subunit ribosomal RNA", at positions 524 to 776 of the family's 1533-position model. The record is from RNAcentral.
UACGUAGGGGGCAAGCGUUGUCCGGAAUCAUUGGGCGUAAAGAGCGUGUAGGCGGUCCGGUCAGUCGGUUGUGAAAGUCAAGGGCUCAACCCUUGAAUGCCGGCCGAUACUGCCGGGCUAGAGUCCGGAAGAGGUGAGUGGAAUUCCUGGUGUAGCGGUGAAAUGCGCAGAUAUCAGGAGGAACACCGAUUGCGAAGGCAGCUCGCUGGGACGUUACUGACGCUGAGACGCGAAAGCGUGGGGAGCAAACAGG